This is a long non-coding RNA of Micropterus dolomieu (smallmouth bass), 348 nucleotides long. RefSeq lists it as uncharacterized. The transcript has 3 exons. NCBI's taxonomy places the organism in Eukaryota, Metazoa, Chordata, Actinopteri, Centrarchiformes, Centrarchidae. The record is from RefSeq and is a predicted model, not a curated record.
UUAAUCCAAAACCCCUGUCUUCAUCUUCCAGACGCCGACAGCGGAAACAGCUGAUCAGACUGAGUGGUCCAUUGACAUACCAAGGGCUUCUUUCAGCAUGUCUUCAGGUCUGUGGCUCUUUUUAAGCAGCCAGCGAGUGUGGCCUGACAACGGACGUUUUCAAACCAGCCCUGACGUUGAUGAAACACCUCCGGUAGAGUCCAGGAGCUGCAGUUAAACACACAGUGGCCUGAAAGAAAUCUGGUGUACACGGCCCUGGUUCUGUAAAUUGGAAAGUGGCUUGGACCGAUCCACCCAACACUAUUCCAGCCGUUCAAGCCAUGAUUUGUGUAGCAAGUAACUUUAAAU